Ananas comosus (pineapple) is the source of this 565-nucleotide long non-coding RNA. RefSeq lists it as uncharacterized. Lineage: Eukaryota; Viridiplantae; Streptophyta; Magnoliopsida; Poales; Bromeliaceae. The record is from RefSeq and is a predicted model, not a curated record. The transcript has 3 exons.
UGACCUUGGGGACUGGUUUAGAAGGUGUUCUAACCUGAGCGAAAGCGCAACCGACCUUUGGGUCAUCUUUGGUUGACAUCAAAGAGCCUUUAGAGGCUAAACUUGAGGACACAUUUGAGUUGGUUUUAAGAUGAGUAUUGGGAGCCUUUACCAGAAGUGAAGUGUCAAUCUGAGAAGCUGGAAUACCCGGAUCGCUUAGCUACGUGAACUCGACAAAAGGCGUUGUUUAUCGGUGGGUCUGACCUUCACGAAAUAGGUGAAUUCCCUCUAUGUCUCUUUUGACAUCUGAGUUGAAGUUUGUACAUAUUCAGGUGAAUAUAUGUAUAGUUCAAGGCAUUGAGACAUACAUUAAUGAGUAGAUCAUAUCGGAUAUGAUGGCAUUUCUAAACAGUGAUGGAAGACUUAUGAUUUGUUCUCGUUACAUAGCCACUUGUCGGAUUACUAUGCAUGCAUGAUAUUAGUAGCUUGUAUAAGCAAUUUCACUUGAUGUCAUUCAAGUGGAUAUAAUGGUAAGAUCACGAAUGUACCAAUUAACUUGGUUGAACGACAAAGAGAUUGAUGUACU